This 2328-nucleotide long non-coding RNA is filed under the name Nicotiana benthamiana. RNAcentral describes it as "long non-coding RNA (NBEN_LNC034697)". Lineage: Eukaryota; Viridiplantae; Streptophyta; Magnoliopsida; Solanales; Solanaceae. The record is from RNAcentral.
UUUGAAUUGCUUAUGUGCUCAGAAUUUGGUUAAAAAUAAUUGGUAGGCUAUGCCAAUUAAGCUGUUUCCAUGUUUUUUUUCAUGUUAACAAAAGUUUGCAACCUUAUGAACCAACCUGACAUUUUGGCUAAUUGGGUACUCAGAUUUUUUCAAAUUUCAGGGUUUCAUGUUCUACGCAUACCUCCUGAUAUGUCAUCUAUAGUUGUGACAUUAUGAUGAUUGAAGGCGUUAAAAGAUACAACAACAACGUCCCAGUAUGAUUCCACAAGUGGGGUAUGGGAAGACGUUAAAAGAUGUGAACCUAAAAUUACAUGGAGGGAAGUAAAUUUGGUAAAACAAAAUUGGUAGUCUAUGCACUAAGCUGUUUCCAUGUAUAUCCUGCCCAAUUGCCACUAGAAGGGGAAGUAGUGAAAGUAUCUCUAACAAAAGAUUGCAACUUUAUGAACCAACCUGACAUUUUGGCUAAUUGGGUACUCAGAUUUUUUCAAAUUUCAGGGUUUUAUGUUCUACGCAUACCUACUGAUAUGUCGAUCUAUAGAUGUGACAUUAUGAUGAUUGAAGACGUUAAAAGAUGUGAACUUAAAAUUACAUGGAGGGAAGUGUCUCACAUGAUCUUAAAUAAUCUAUUAAAAAGAAAAAAGAAUGAGAGUUGGCUCAAAAUAAAAGAUGGUGUAAGUAAGACAUCCAUAAGUGAAAUUGAUAAUGACUUGUUGAUAUUAAACUAGUUAUUGAGAUUAAGAUACGCCUAAUUUUGUCCGAAAGACAAAUUAUUUAUUAUCGGAAUGAAAUUGACCUGGGCAGUGGUAUUAAGAAGAAUCAUAACCCAAUUAAUUUGGGAUUGAGCCAUUGAGGUGUGGUUGAUUGAUAAAUAUUUAUGGAAGGUUGUUUGCUAUUGUAGUUUAUGUGGGGGAGUAUUAUGUUGCAUAUAGGAUGUAACUUAUUCUGCGGUCGUAGUAGAGUAUAAAGUAGGAUAAAGGAAUAAACAAGCAUGGAACUCCACUGGAAAUCACUGGGGUUGAUACUGCUGUAAUAAAUGAAAAGCACAUAAAUCCGACCCUUUAUCUUUCCCGGGGUAAGUAAGAGCACAUUUCACAAAUCUACCCCUGUAAUCGAACUUCUUGAACUCCUUGAGGCCUUCUAUUUUUAAUCCUUAAUUGGGAGCAAGCAUGGAGCUGCAAAGGCUUGCCUACUCUAAAGCAGUAUUCAGAAAAAUAUUAUCCAAAAGAUGAUGCCAGUAGAAAGCUCCAUGUUGGUAAAUGAUUCCACUGGAUUGUCAUCGAUUUCACUGCAAAAGUUUCUUGAUGGACUUUCAUCAAUCCCAUUGCAAAGACCUGGUUCUUUCGAAUGUCACGACACUCAACUAUAUGCAGAUCUAGAGAUAUUGAUACCUAGGGGUGUCAAGUGUGUGUGUGUGUUGUGGGGGGCUGAUUUUGGGCAGGUCAAAAUGGGCUAAGUCAAUAAAUUGUCGGGUCAAUGACCCACCCAAAAGUUAUUUGGUCUGAGGUGAGGUUUGGGCCAAGAUGUGGGCUAAAAUUUGAGUCAUAAGCCUCUUACUAAGCUUUAAUUAAUGUAUGUUGCUUUCUUAUGAAUUAUUUAAUUAUCAAAUAAGUCUUUUUUCUUUUAUUAUGGUCAUUUAUAACAUAUUAAGGAAAAGACAUUAUUUUUAAAGAUAUUUUAACAAAGUUGCUCGUGAAUCAAUUUGGGCUAAAACCAACCCAACUUUAGAUGGGUUGGGUCAAGAUGGGGUGAGUUCAACAAUGGACAAGUCAUUGAGUGGCCCAACCUUGAUUGUGUUGGGCUUAGAUUGCCACCCCUAUUGUUACCUAAAUUUGUUAAAAUAAUAUUGUCCUCUCUAACAAUUUUUUGAUUAAAAAGAAAACAAAUGCACCUCUUAAACUAAUAAUAUAUGUGGUCAAAUAAGAAGUUUCAUUAUAGGAGCAUUUAUCAUGAAUAAUCUAUGUUUCUGUGAUAUUGCUGCAACUUCAUCUGAGAUAUUUGUUGCACUCGCUGCUGUGUUGUUUUUGCUCUCUCAGAAGUAAUCCCCAAAACUUUAAUUACUAUAGUGGUUGAUGUGAUUAGUUUUUCUGGGAAAUCUAAUGAUAUGUGCUUCAACUCAUGCUAGAAAGCACUAUCGAGUAAUUUAUUUUGGCAUUUGAAAGAGUUUUAGUUUCGAAUUUCAUCCCAUACUUGUUAAAAGUUCUUCCAUAAUAUUUGUGGUUAAUUGUUAAAUUUCAAAAAUCUAUUUGUUUAGUUUUCUUAAUGCAAUGAAUCCAUAAUAUUGGAAAUAUUUGUUAAAUCUCGAUUUCUUAGUUAUAUCUCAGUUUCUUA